Long non-coding RNA from Eutrema salsugineum, 150 nucleotides. RefSeq lists it as uncharacterized. NCBI's taxonomy places the organism in Eukaryota, Viridiplantae, Streptophyta, Magnoliopsida, Brassicales, Brassicaceae. The record is from RefSeq and is a predicted model, not a curated record. The transcript has 3 exons.
AUGGAUAGCAAAGGGACUAUAACCAUUGAACAGCUCCUUGAUGAUGUUGAAGACCAGGAUGAUCUUCAGAAAGAGUUUGGAGAAUUAAAUAUUGAAGACUAAGGAGUCAAUGAUGAACAAUGACAUAAAUCUGGGUUUAGGAGUCGCAGG